RNAcentral lists this unclassified non-coding RNA (189 nucleotides) under Glomeromycetes sp. RNAcentral's name for it is "partial contains 5.8S ribosomal RNA and internal transcribed spacer 2". The stretch from base 1 to 71 matches the Rfam family "5.8S ribosomal RNA", at positions 84 to 154 of the family's 154-position model. Lineage: Eukaryota; Fungi; Glomeromycota; Glomeromycetes. The record is from RNAcentral.
GUGAAUCAUCAAAUUUUUGAACGCAAAUUGCACUCUCUGGUAUUCCGGAGAGUAUGCCUGUUUGAGGGUAAUUAAAAAGAAUCUUUCACCUUUUUUUUUUGGUCAAAGGAAAUGAGCUCUCAGCGUUUAUAGCGUUAGCUUGCAAUAAAUGGUGAAGUCACAUUUUAGUCGAUACGCGUAAUAUUAUUA